RNAcentral lists this ribosomal RNA (464 nucleotides) under uncultured bacterium. Its description in RNAcentral is "bacterial SSU rRNA". It matches the Rfam family "Bacterial small subunit ribosomal RNA", at positions 28 to 486 of the family's 1533-position model. The record is from RNAcentral.
GAUGAACGCUAGCUACAGGCUUAACACAUGCAAGUCGAGGGGCAGCAUGACCUAGCAAUAGGUUGAUGGCGACCGGCGCACGGGUGAGUAACACGUAUCCAACCUACCGGUUAUUCUGGGAUAGCCUUUCGAAAGAAAGAUUAAUACCGGAUAGUAUAACGAGAAGGCAUCUUUUUGUUAUUAAAGAAUUUCGAUAAUCGAUGGGGAUGCGUUCCAUUAGUUUGUUGGCGGGGUAACGGCCCACCAAGACAUCGAUGGAUAGGGGUUCUGAGAGGAAGGUCCCCCACAUUGGAACUGAGACACGGUCCAAACUCCUACGGGAGGCAGCAGUGAGGAAUAUUGGUCAAUGGACGAGAGUCUGAACCAGCCAAGUAGCGUGAAGGAUGACUGCCCUAUGGGUUGUAAACUUCUUUUAUAUGGGAAUAAAGUGAGCCACGUGUGGCUUUUUGUAUGUACCAUACGAA